UACGGAGGGUGUGAGCGUUACCCGGAUUUACUGGGUGUAAAGGGCGUGUAGGCGGUCUCUCAAGUCCGAUGCUAAAGACCGAGGCUCAACCUCGGGAGUGCGUUGGAUACUGUGAGGCUAGACGGUCGGAGAGGGCAGCGGAAUUCUCGGAGUAGCGGUGAAAUGCGCAGAUACCGAGAGGAACGCCAAUAGCGAAGGCAGCUGCCUGGACGAUUGGUGACGAUGAGGCGCGAAAGAGUGGGGAGCAAACCGG
This 253-nucleotide ribosomal RNA is filed under the name uncultured bacterium. RNAcentral describes it as "partial 16S ribosomal RNA". It matches the Rfam family "Bacterial small subunit ribosomal RNA", at positions 524 to 776 of the family's 1533-position model. The record is from RNAcentral.